AGUGAACGCUGGCGGCGUGCCUAACACAUGCAAGUCGCGCGAGAUUUUACGGAGUAUUGUAAGAUCUAGCGGCAAACGGGUGAGUAACACGUAGGGAACCUUCCUCAAAAUGGGGAAUAUCUCCGAGAAAUCGGAGUCAAUACCGCAUGAAACCACAGUUUGGCAUCAAACAGAGGUCAAAGCAGCAAUGCGUUUUGAGAUGGUCCUGCGGCCUAUCAGCUAGUUGGUUGGGUAAUGGCCUACCAAGGCUAUGACGGGUAUCCGGCCUGAAAGGGUGAACGGACACACUGGAACUGAGACACGGUCCAGACUCCUACGGGAGGCAGCAGUGGGGAAUUUUGGACAAUGGGGGAAACCCUGAUCCAGCGACGCCGCGUGGAGGACGAAGGCCUUCGGGUUGUAAACUCCUUUUAGAGGGGAAGAAAAAAAUGACGGUACCCUCAGAAAAAGCCACG
Molecule: ribosomal RNA, 455 nt
Filed under: uncultured Termite group 1 bacterium
Lineage: Bacteria; Pseudomonadati; Elusimicrobiota
Description: bacterial SSU rRNA
Rfam family: Bacterial small subunit ribosomal RNA
Source: RNAcentral